Myotis davidii is the source of this 320-nucleotide long non-coding RNA. RefSeq lists it as uncharacterized. NCBI's taxonomy places the organism in Eukaryota, Metazoa, Chordata, Mammalia, Chiroptera, Vespertilionidae. The transcript is spliced from 3 exons. The record is from RefSeq and is a predicted model, not a curated record.
GGGCGGGAGGAGGCGGGGCAGGAGGCGGGGAGUCCCAGUUAAAAGGCUCCAGGUCCCUGGACCAGGCAGAGUGAGCUCCUGGGGCCUCUUGCUCUGGGUCAGAAUCAGCCUCGGCAUGGGACGCCCACGGCCUGCUGCCAUGUGCGCCUGGAUCUUCCUGCUCUUGCUGCUGGAAGCCUGUGCAGGGCACUGGAGGGCACAGGAGAGCAAGGUGCUGGGGGCCAGGGGCUCAGGGCCCAUUCACAGCCUGGGAAGGCGGCUUUGUUCCAGAGCAUUCAGCUGUCAUGUCAGGGUGUCUGCAUAAAUGUCACAACUGGGUC